Molecule: ribosomal RNA, 165 nt
Filed under: uncultured bacterium
Lineage: Bacteria
Description: partial 16S rRNA
Rfam family: Bacterial small subunit ribosomal RNA
Source: RNAcentral
GUAGGGAAUCUUCCACAAUGGGCGCAAGCCUGAUGGAGCAACGCCGCGUGAGUGAAGAAGGUCUUCGGAUCGUAAAACUCUGUUGUUAGUGAAGAACAUGCAGGAGAGUAACUGUUCUUGUAUUGACGGUAUCUAACCAGAAAGCCACGGCUAACUACGUGCCAG